Molecule: ribosomal RNA, 606 nt
Filed under: uncultured bacterium
Lineage: Bacteria
Description: bacterial SSU rRNA
Rfam family: Bacterial small subunit ribosomal RNA
Source: RNAcentral
GUAGGCGGGGCAACGGCCCACCUAGCCUGCGAUCGGUAGGGGUUCUGAGAGGAAGGUCCCCCACAUUGGAACUGAGACACGGUCCAAACUCCUACGGGAGGCAGCAGUGAGGAAUAUUGGUCAAUGGGCGAGAGCCUGAACCAGCCAAGUAGCGUGCAGGAUGACGGCCCUAUGGGUUGUAAACUGCUUUUAUGCGGGGAUAAAGUGCUCCACGUGUGGGGCAUUGCAGGUACCGCACGAAUAAGGACCGGCUAAUUCCGUGCCAGCAGCCGCGGUAAUACGGAAGGUCCAGGCGUUAUCCGGAUUUAUUGGGUUUAAAGGGAGCGUAGGCCGAUGGCCAAGCGUGUUGUGAAAUGUGGACGCUCAACGUCCGACUUGCAGCGCGAACUGGCCGUCUUGAGUGCGCGCAACGUUGGCGGAAUUCGUCGUGUAGCGGUGAAAUGCUUAGAUAUGACGAAGAACUCCGAUUGCGAAGGCAGCUGACGGGAGCGCAACUGACGCUGAAGCUCGAAGGUGCGGGUAUCGAACAGGAUUAGAUACCCUGGUAGUCCGCACGGUAAACGAUGGAUGCCCGCUGUGUGCCCCUGGGGUACGUGGCCAAGCGAA